Molecule: ribosomal RNA, 367 nt
Filed under: Paleosepharia sp. BMNH 846574
Lineage: Eukaryota; Metazoa; Arthropoda; Insecta; Coleoptera; Chrysomelidae
Description: partial 16S ribosomal RNA
Source: RNAcentral
UUAAAUGGCCGCGGUAUUUUGACCGUGCUAAGGUAGCAUAAUCAUUAGUUUUUUUAUUGAAAGCUGGAAUGAAGGGUUGGAUGAAAAAAUAGCUGUCUCUAUUGAAUUAUAUUAGAAUUUUAUUUUUAAGUUAAAAAGCUUAAAUUUUUUUAAAAGACGAGAAGACCCUAUAGAGUUUUAUAUUUAAUAUAAAAAUAUUUUUUUAGUAUUAAUUUAAUAUUUUUUAUUAAUUAUUUGAUUGGGGUGAUUAAAAAAUUUAAUAAACUUUUUUUAUAUAUUUAUAUUAAUUUAUAUAUAGUUGAUCCAAUAUUUUUGAUUAUAAGAAAAAAUUACCUUAGGGAUAACAGCGUAAUUUUAUUAGAGAGUU